Molecule: long non-coding RNA, 620 nt
Filed under: Rattus norvegicus (Norway rat)
Lineage: Eukaryota; Metazoa; Chordata; Mammalia; Rodentia; Muridae
Description: long non-coding RNA NONRATT000496
Source: RNAcentral
UACUCACCCCCAACCCUGUGUCCUGUUCUCAUUACAGGGGCCGCAUGGAAGCUCCUGUCAGGCGUCCGGGAAGGCCAGACGCAGGUAGACACACCCCAGACAGGGGACAUGGCUUACUGGUCCCACCCCAUUGACCUGCACUUUGCUACAAAAGGUCUCCAAGGUACGUACAGGAUGACAGGAAGGGAAGGGGCAGUCAAACUAGGAAGAGCUGGGCUUGGAACACCCUGGCCGUCUCUGCUCCCCAUACUUUGUGGGUCCUUUUUCUGGUGCAUUUGAGGCUUCACUCGAGCUAUGCAAAACCCUACCUAGGCCGUGGAAUGUGCCAGAGGUCGGGGUAGAGGAGAUAGCAGGGGGAGGGGGGUCAAGUGGCAGAGGAGAAGGCAGUGAGGAGGCCGGGUAGGGUGAAGAGAGCUGGAUGGGAAGGCGAGGGACAGGAAAUGGGCCAGUUGCCGCUGCUCACACACGGACAGAGGUCCUGCUCAAAGGGGAAGUGAGUGUAGGAGGGAGGAGGUAGCAUGGCAGUGCUGCUUUGCUGGGAAGCUGCCCGGGUAUUUCAGCAAUGUCAGUCAGUUGUCAGUUUGCUGAGUCUGUGCCUGCCCAGCUUGAGAAGGGAUGUC